CCUUCCCUUCCUCCCUCCUCAGGUUAGCCCCUCCCUCCUCCAGAAACCAUAGUUGGCCCUGCCCGAGGAACCCGAGAGGUAGGAGCGAAGCUUCCCGAGCCCUCGGCCAGCCGAGGGCCGUUUGCCCUGGGCCACAGGUGCCCUGGCAACGGCCGCCGCUACCACGGGGCGGGGCUGUGACGUCAGAGGAUGGCUCGCGGACUUGGAAGGGGUUGGGGAGGAGUGAGGCACGAGCAAAGGCUUCUUGGUUGACGUUAGUUCUUUUUUGAUUGAUCUUCAAUUAAAUCCUUCCACGUCUUUGCAACCUUUCUUGACGCCUCUGGCAUAGAGUAACAGAUUAACAAGAAGCAAAAAUCCCAUCUGUGCCAUUUAAUUGCCAUGAGACCAUGUUCUUUUCCCCUGUGCAGGGCCUCAGUUUCCUAACCUGCAUUGUAGGGGAGAGUUAGACUAGAAAGACCAUUCCAACUCAAAAUUCCAUUAGCCAACUGUUUGCCAUCCAUCCACACAUAUCGUCAGCCCAUGAAGGGGGAGAACCGGGCCAGUGGUAACCAUCCCCCCCAAAUUACCAGCUCAUUUUCAUUAUGUUGCCACACAAAGCCUGUUUCACUUUUGUCUUUCUAUUUCCUGGGCCCAGCAUAAGGACUGGCAUUUUAAGGACUCUCCAUGUCUUCAGCUCUCAUUAUCACUACCAUGCCAACAGGAUCCUGGGAGUCCAGGUUCAAAGAACCCAGAAAAGGAGGUUAGUGGAGUGUGACUUGUUUUUUUCUUUUCUCAUAAAUUCAAUGAACAUUUAAUUAAGCAUGGACUACAUGCAAGGAGGUAUGCUAGGCGUUAAUGAGACAAAGUAAAAACCCAAACAAUUCUUCACUUUAUAUUCUGCUGUCCUUUAUAUUGAUACAAAUACAAAAGUGAUACAAUUCCUGCACUCAAGGAACUUAUAUUGUAUUAAUAGAUAAUAAAAUAUUACUAUGUCCUAU
This 977-nucleotide long non-coding RNA is filed under the name Monodelphis domestica (gray short-tailed opossum). RNAcentral describes it as "lncRNA (ENSMODG00000039756.1)". Lineage: Eukaryota; Metazoa; Chordata; Mammalia; Didelphimorphia; Didelphidae. The record is from RNAcentral.